GGAGCAGACCAGCCCAGGCCAGAGCAGACAGAAGCACAGUGGAGCAGAGAAGUGCAGCACAAAGCAGACAGGCAUGGAGCAGAGCAUGGAGGAGCAGAACUAUCUGGCCAGAAGGAUUUGGCUAGAUAGUUAUCUAGCCAUUGGCUCCAGGGCUGCCUGAUACCUGUGUUGUUUUCACAGCCAUGUUGUAUCGUAAUUGAGCUGUUUUCCUCGGAAGAAAGUUACCUUUUUCACCACACCCCAAAUCGGUGUUGAACUGGUGGCAACCAUCAGUGAACAGCACUAUAACGAACGAAAACAGGGUCUGAGACGUGGGGAGCUGAAGGGAGUCUUUAAGGAGGUGACCUGAGUUGAGCCCUGGGUGACUGCAGGGAGCCAGGAUGGCCGAGGGGAGGAGCGUUCUGAGCAGAGGGUGGAGCGAGCACCGAGGCCCUGAGGCACAAGGAGUUUGGCACACGCACUGCACAGAAAGACUGGCUGCAGCUGGCGAACCAGGGACAGUGGUGGAGACAGGCUUGGCCACAACGGGCACUGCGGCGAGAACACCGAGACUCAGAGAAGCAAGGGCUCUACCCUCAUCCUGCCUCUCUUUGAACCGGCCUUUGCCAAUGGAGCUGUGUGACCUUGGGCAAUGUGCUUGACCACUCUCGGCCUCAGUUUCAUCCCCACAGAAGACAGGACAGUCUGGAGCAACAGAAACCCCAGACGAAUGGUCCCGAUGGCAUCAUCCCACCGACUCGUGUCUUUGUCCCCAUGGCUUGUAGGCGUCGUCCGCAUGCAGGACCCAAGUUGCCAAGCUUCCAACAGGUCUUUCCAGAGGAGAGUGAGACCAGAGGGACGGCAGUGCACAGAGAGAGUGACAUUAAACCACGCUUCUGACCCUUGCUCUAGGUGGUACCUGAGCGCAGCCACAGAAUGACCCCUGACUCAAGCUGUAGACUGAUUCUUGACCCACACUAUGGACCUAUUUGUGAUCCUGGCUACAGACCAACCCAGGCAAUGCUGACCCUUAGCCCUGGCCGAAGACUAAUCACUGACCCAUAGACUGAUCUCUGACUUCGGCCACCCGGCUCCCUCACAGACACCUCACCCCAUCUGGGAACUGGCAUGUCUUAAUUUUCAGCUGGAAAUUCAGCUUGAGUCGGGUAACAUAUCUGUCCAUCUGCCCUGCCUCUUUGCCACAGAACCACAGGGCAAGCUGACAGUUCUCCUUUUUAACCGAAGAGAGCAGCGUCAGGAGAAGGGCCCUUUGCCAACUUCCUUCUGCUUUGGAUGUGAUGUCUGGUGGUCUGACACCCACCUCGUGAUCACGAGUGGACAAGCCGGACAUGAAAGGCAGUGUUCUGAAUACGGCGCGGUGGGGGAGGAAAAGAGCCUGCGUCCUUGAUCACUUCUUUAAGUGAUCAAAUCAACCUCUGGAUUCUUUAAUAAAACAGACUUGCUUUUGUUGAAACCAUGGUGGUAUUGCUUUUGCACAUAUAAAGCAGUCUUAAAGAUCAUAGUAGGUAGAAUAAUGGACCUCCAAAGAAAUUCACAUCCUAAUCUCUGGAAACUGUGAACAUGUGGGAUCCAGACUGCCAAUCAAGGGGUCAAAGAACAUGCAUGAAUGACCCAUGGACGUGGACAAAGGCAAGGGGAUUGACUCUGGGCAAGAGGGAUAGGCUGGGUAGAA
Long non-coding RNA from Artibeus jamaicensis (Jamaican fruit-eating bat), 1672 nucleotides. RefSeq lists it as uncharacterized. The record is from RefSeq and is a predicted model, not a curated record. Lineage: Eukaryota; Metazoa; Chordata; Mammalia; Chiroptera; Phyllostomidae. The transcript has 4 exons.